AGCAGCCGCGGUAAUUCCAGCUCCAAUAGCGUAUAUUAAAGUUGUUGCAGUUAAAAAGCUCGUAGUUGAAUUUCGGGAUCAAUUUAUCGGUCGUGCCAACGGUAUGAACUGGUACAGUUGGUUUCUCCCUUCUGAUGAAGCUCGAUGUCAUUAACUUGGUGUCGGGGGGAAUCAGGACUGUUACUUUGAAAAAAUUAGAGUGUUUAAAGCAGGCCUUGGCUUGAAUACAUUAGCAUGGAAUAAUGAAAUAGGACGUUUGAUCCUAUUUCGUUGGUUUCUAGGAUCGACGUAAUGAUUAAUAGGGAUAGUUGGGGGCAUUAGUAUUCAAUUGUCAGAGGUGAAAUUCUUGGAUUUAUUGAAGACUAACUACUGCGAAAGCAUGUGCCAAGGAUGUUUUCAUUAAUCAAGAACGAAAGUUAGGGGAUCGAAGACGAUCAGAUGCCGUCGUAGUCUUAACCAUAAACUAUGCCGACUAGGGAUCGGAUGAUGUUAAUUUUUUAAUGACUCA
This 508-nucleotide ribosomal RNA is filed under the name Glomus sp. Glo20. Its description in RNAcentral is "SSU rRNA". It matches the Rfam family "Eukaryotic small subunit ribosomal RNA", at positions 569 to 1078 of the family's 1831-position model. The record is from RNAcentral. Lineage: Eukaryota; Fungi; Glomeromycota; Glomeromycetes; Glomerales; Glomeraceae.